AGUGGCGAACGGGUGAGUAACACGUGGGUGAUCUGCCCUGCACUUUGGGAUAAGCCUGGGAAACUGGGUCUAAUACCGAAUAUUUCCUUUUGGUCGCAUGGCUGGGAGGGGAAAGCUUUUGCGGUGUGGGAUGGGCCCGCGGCCUAUCAGCUUGUUGGUGAGGUUAUGGCUUACCAAGGCGACGACGGGUAGCCGGACUGAGAGGGUGACCGGCCACACUGGGACUGAGAUACGGCCCAGACUCCUACGGGAGGCAGCAGUGGGGAAUAUUGCACAAUGGGCGCAAGCCUGAUGCAGCGACGCCGCGUGGGGGAUGACGGCCUUCGGGUUGUAAACCUCUUUCAAUAGGGACGAAGCGCAAGUGACGGUACCUAUAGAAGAAGGACCGGCCAACUACGUGCCAGCAGCCGCGGUAAUACGUAGGGUCCGAGCGUUGUCCGGAAUUACUGGGCGUAAAGAGCUCGUAGGUGGUGUGUCGCGUCGUCCGUGAAAACUCACAGCUUAACUGUGGGCGUGCGGGCGAUACGGGCAGACUCGAGUACUGCAGGGGAGACUGGAAUUCCUGGUGUAGCGGUGGAAUGCGCAGAUAUCAGGAGGAACACCGGUGGCGAAGGCGGGUCUCUGGGCAGUAACUGACGCUGAGGAGCGAAAGCGUGGGGAGCGAACAGGAUUAGAUACCCUGGUAGUCCACGCCGUAAACGGUGGGUACUAGGUGUGGGUUUCCUUCCUU
Molecule: ribosomal RNA, 730 nt
Filed under: Mycolicibacterium novocastrense
Lineage: Bacteria; Bacillati; Actinomycetota; Actinomycetes; Mycobacteriales; Mycobacteriaceae
Description: bacterial SSU rRNA
Rfam family: Bacterial small subunit ribosomal RNA
Source: RNAcentral